RNAcentral lists this long non-coding RNA (840 nucleotides) under Olea europaea subsp. europaea. The record is from RNAcentral. Lineage: Eukaryota; Viridiplantae; Streptophyta; Magnoliopsida; Lamiales; Oleaceae.
CCGAUAUGAAAUUAUUAACUAACAAGUGUGAUAUUAGAUUAUUUUACCAUAUACAAGAUACUAAAUAUUAACUUAGUUAUUCUUCAUUUGCAUGUAACUAGCUAUAUAGAAUUGUGCUAUUUCCCUCCUAAAUUAUUCUUCUCCUCAAUAAAAUCCGCAUCAAAGAGCAAAUUCCAUUUUUGACCUCAAUGCAUCGAGCAUUGUGUCCAUAUCCCUUAUUUAGCAACCGUUAACUACUCUUCUUCCUACCCGCUUCCUCAGUUCUGCCGUUGGUGUCGUUGCCACACUGUCUUGAACACUUGUCAUGAUUUCAGUAAAAAACCUAGCACAACAUCGUUUUUGAUAAUUGUCGCCAAAAAAAAUAAAAUUACGAGAAAAAGAAGAAGAAUUUACUAGAAAAACUAACAAAACUCUUGUCCUAAAUGAAUGGAGAGAGAAAUGUAGGGUUUGAUGAUGUCUGAUCGAAAGCAUUAGAAAGAGCAGCCUAUAAUCGACCAAAAUCAUGAAAAUUUCCCAGAACUGGCAAAGAGAAAUCACUUAUUUAGGGUUUUGUUGGGUGAAAGUUUUAUAAAUUAAAGGGUAAUAGUAAAUUUUUGAAUUAAUGGGCCGUAUUGGGCCUAAUUAUCUCUAAAAGAAACCAGAGAGCAUGUUUUGGACUUUACCUAUUUGCUCGAAUCAAUUUGAAACGUUGGCUCCGCUCCUAGAAAGUAUAUUGGGCUGUAAAUUUUUUACUAAAAUUCAGGCCCAACUACAGAGAGCUGAACAGGGCACGGUUCAGUGUAGUCCAUCUUAAAGUCUAACUCAUCAUUUGGAUUGUGGACAAAACUAGCAUUAUUGAUC